This 253-nucleotide ribosomal RNA is filed under the name uncultured bacterium. Its description in RNAcentral is "partial 16S ribosomal RNA". It matches the Rfam family "Bacterial small subunit ribosomal RNA", at positions 524 to 776 of the family's 1533-position model. The record is from RNAcentral.
UACGUAGGGGGCAAGCGUUGUCCGGAUUUAUUGGGCGUAAAGAGCGUGUAGGCGGCCAGGUAGGUCCGUUGUGAAAACUGGAGGCUUAACCUCCAGCUGUCGAUGGAAACCAUCUGGCUAGAGUCCGGAAGAGGAGAGUGGAAUUCCUGGUGUAGCGGUGAAAUGCGCAGAGAUCAGGAAGAACACCCGUGGCGAAGGCGGCUCUCUGGGACGGUACUGACGCUGAGACGCGAAAGCGUGGGGAGCGAACAGG